AACUUUCAACAAUGGAUCUCUUGGUUCUGGCAUCGAUGAAGAACGCAGCGAAAUGCGAUAAGUAGUGUGAAUUGCAGAAUUCAGUGAAUCAUCGAAUCUUUGAACGCACAUUGCGCCCCUUGGUAUUCCAUGGGGCAUGCCUGUUCGAGCGUCAU
Molecule: ribosomal RNA, 155 nt
Filed under: leaf litter ascomycete strain its040
Lineage: Eukaryota; Fungi; Ascomycota
Also listed under: 6 other names
Description: 5.8S ribosomal RNA
Rfam family: 5.8S ribosomal RNA
About the family: 5.8S ribosomal RNA (5.8S rRNA) is a component of the large subunit of the eukaryotic ribosome.
Source: RNAcentral